GAUGAACGCUGGCGGCGUGCCUAAUACAUGCAAGUCGAGCGAACGGACGAGACGCUUGCUUCUCUGAUGUUAGCGGCGGACGGGUGAGUCACACGUGUAUAACCUACCUAUAAGACUGGGAUCACUUCGGGAAACCGGAGCUAAUACCGGAUAAUAUUUUGAACCGCAUGGUUCAAUAGUGAAAGACGGUCUUGCUGUCACUUAUAGAUGGAUCCGGGCUGCAUUAGCUAGUUGGUAAGGUAACGGCUUACCAAGGCUACGAUGCAUAGCCGACCUGAGAGGGGGAUAGGCGACACGGGAACUGAGACACGGUCAAGACUCCUAAGGGAGGCAGCAGUAGGGAAUCUUCCGCAAUGGGCGAAAGCCUGACGGAGCAAGGCCGCGUGAGUGAUGAAGGUCUUCGGAUCGUAAAAAUCUGUUAUGAGGGAAGAACAGAUGUGGAAGGAAAUGUGCACAGCGUGACGGUAACGAAUCAGAAAGCAACGGCUAACUACGUG
This 497-nucleotide ribosomal RNA is filed under the name uncultured bacterium. RNAcentral describes it as "partial 16S ribosomal RNA". It matches the Rfam family "Bacterial small subunit ribosomal RNA", at positions 28 to 507 of the family's 1533-position model. The record is from RNAcentral.